UACAGAGGUGGCAAGCGUUGUUCGGAAUUACUGGGCGUAAAGGGCGCGUAGGCGGCCUCCUAAGUCAGACGUGAAAUCCCCCGGCUUAACCUGGGAACUGCGUCUGAUACUGGGAGGCUAGAGUGCGGGAGAGGGAUGCGGAAUUCCAGGUGUAGCGGUGAAAUGCGUAGAUAUCUGGAGGAACACCGGUGGCGAAGGCGGCAUCCUGGACCGACACUGACGCUGAGGCGCGAAAGCGUGGGUAGCAAACAGG
This 253-nucleotide ribosomal RNA is filed under the name uncultured bacterium. RNAcentral describes it as "partial 16S ribosomal RNA". It matches the Rfam family "Bacterial small subunit ribosomal RNA", at positions 524 to 776 of the family's 1533-position model. The record is from RNAcentral.